CCGGACGCGCGUUCGAAUCCAAACACCCUGGCGCCGGGCCCCGCCCCCGCGACCUCUCAUUGGUUGGCAGGGCAAGGCUGCGCGCAGGCGCACCGCGGCCUCCCCUCCCGCCAUGCACCGCGGCGGCGCUCCCGGAGGGCGGUGGGGGGCACGUCACGGCCCGGGAAGCCGCCGCUCUCAGGCCCUUCAGGCUUUGCCAAGCGAUUUAUGCACGCUGCCAUAAGUUAUUAUAGCAGUGUACUUGCUACUGUAAAAAACAUUAAUCUACUCUUUCAAAAUCCUUUAGAUAAAACCGUAAAGUAACAGAGCCCACCAUGUUUACCAGGGGGGUGUGAUAACACCCACGUCCUCGACAGUUCGGUGCUUCAGGACAUGAAUUGAAAUGGUUUAACGUGACUGCUCCUGUACAAAACUGAAAAUUAGGUCAUUUUUCAGACAGAAGACAAAAUUCAGACUGGAAGAAAUAAGGAGGACACAACUGAACCCUCCAAGUGCAAUGACAGGUUAAAACAAGAAGGCACCUGAUAACCAGGAGACAACUCACCUUCAGGAGAAAUGUCUGUGCCCUGCAUGAAACAGAUGAAAAAUAACGAUAGUAAGUGCUGUGUACAUAAUUAAAACAUUUAGUAAACAUGCAGAAAGUAACACAGAGUUAAAAAGAUUCAAAAGGUACUUCACUGCCACUGUACUUACCCUGGAACAUUAGAUGUGUCAUUAUUUCUAAUUAACUUUUGGACCAGAACCUGGACUGCAUACUCCUUUCUAACCCUAACUACUGAAGGGCUGGAACAACAGCUUGUUUUGUUAGAAAACAGAAUUAGAGGAAAUCGAUUCCCAGAAAAACUAGGCAGUAAAGCACGGUCUUGGGCGGGGGGUAGAGAGCCACAUCCUUCACUUGGGUUUCUUAAAAAAUGUUUUAAGAAUAAUUUCAGUUUUAGAGCUUAACACUGAAACUGAACUUUUGCUGCUGAAAGAUACAGGUUUAAUUCUUACACAGCAUCAUUUUCACAUAUUGAGGCCAACAUCAUGGGUAGUCAAAGAAUAUGUUUAAUAAAAAAUAAUUAAACUUCCAUUUGCUCUAUAGAACAUCAUAGAAAGUAAUUCAAUAAAUUACAAAUGACUUUUUAAGACGCUUGUUCAACUACAGAAAGCAAAUUCAGACUACACAGAACACAACUGGCAAAUAUUGCAAAUGUCCAAAAAAAACCUGGACUAAGACUUGGAUCAUGAAGCCUGAAACAAGGGAUAGAAAUACAAGGCAAUAACAGCUAAGGUUCUUUUAGUAACUACCAACACACACUUUAUCAUCACCUUGGAUAUCCUUUUAACUUCAGCAUUAGUGUAAUUCUACUGAGGUUUCCUUAUAACCCUUAACUUUAUACAACCGUAUUUGCAUAUAGUUUAGCUGAUAGUGGGACAUUUUUUUCCCCUUCUGGUUCAAACUGAUUAAAAAUAAACCAAAUAUAUUAUGUUCAAGUCUACACCAGCCUUCAUUACUUGGAACUGUAAUUGCCUUAUUACAUAGAAAGAAUCACUAGAAUGGUAACCAAACUCACUUGACCAUAAUUAGGAAAAUACUUUAUUUCAUAAAUCUGAUAUAAAUUAGGUUUUAGCCACAAGAUUUAGGAUUUGUUUUGUGGGGUAAGGGCGGGAAGUGAUGGUAUUGUUGAUAGACUCCAUCAGCGAGCUAAGUUAAUACCUGUUUGUAAAACUUUGGCUAUUUCAUAGAUGCAUCCUAGUUAAAUAAAAGUGCUAUAUUACAAAGGGCAAAAUAUUAAAUAUGAAAUACUUUUGUUUCAUGAUGAAGAAUUGCUACCCCCUUCUCUUGGCAGUUUUCAAUUUUCACUAUUGCUAAGACACUGCAUGAAGGGCCAAAAAUCAGAAUACUAUUUGGAAAAAGACGUAAC
Molecule: long non-coding RNA, 1907 nt
Organism: Columba livia (rock pigeon)
Lineage: Eukaryota; Metazoa; Chordata; Aves; Columbiformes; Columbidae
Exons: 2
Source: RefSeq, a predicted model, not a curated record